UUUAGGAAUUUAAAUUAUUAAAAGCGCGCCUAAAGAGACUAACGCAUUAUUAUCUUUUGGGAAGACCAUGAAAUUCGCUAAAUGGUCCAUCCCGAACUCUAAGUAUUUAUAAACAUUUACCGAGGACCCCGCAAUUUAUGAGUUUUCUUUGGCGAGGCUCAUCUCGUUUAUUUUAAAAGGGUGUCUAAACUAAAAAAACUCGGAGGGCCACAGACUAUUUUUAUCUAACUAUGGCUCACCUCAAUUGUUUUGAAUUCAGGGCCCAAGAGCAAUUAAGAAGCCAACAGAAUAUUAUUGUUGAUUGAAACUACAAAAAACGAAGCAAAUUAGGACCAGGCCCAGCGUGGUUGGCUCAACACCAGAGCAGCUAGAUCGAGUCCAAGCAGCAAUAGAGGGCCUUAAUUAUUUUCGGAUUCUUCAAACUUGACUUUAACCCAUCACAUAAUAAAGCCUGUAAUUAUGGGUUACAAAAAUGUUACGGGGUUCGAUUAGAACUACUCCUACUGGAAAAUUAAACUUUUAGAGAAGUUAACCAAUUGGAUAGUCACUUUCAGAAUUAGAACACAACGUCAAGGCUACUAAAAUGAAACUGCAGACCAUAAUUCGAUUAAAUAUCAUCUGGAAAAGGAAAUCAGGUUUUUCUCCCCAUUUAAAAUGCAGAAAUUCCCACAGUUGACUCCAUCAAUACAUAUGAUAUGUCGAGAUAAUCUUUAAAUUCUAAUUCCUUUUAACCAAGUAUCCUAAAACCUACAGACGUAACGAGAGAAAACAAUGAAAAAUUGACUGCUAAGCUUCAUUAUAUUAUACUAUACUAUACUAGUGACACAAAUUAAACCAAAUCAAAAGUUACCAACUACCAAAUUCUCAUACAAACUGAAUUAGAUCGAGAGUCAAUAAGAGUCCAUGUGUAUGCCUAUUAUCCAUACAGCAUAAAACAAAUAAUUAACAUCAACUACAACCUAUCAAAUUAAACAACAAACAAUCUACAAAUGAACAUAAGUCUGUGAACACUUUUAUUUUUGUUUUUCAACUUCAAUGAACUACAUCAUGGCAUUUUGAAGAAGUGUACCUGGAAACAAUGGAAAUAGAGAAGAAGGAAUCAACCAAGGUGAUAACUAAGCAACAACAACGUUAAAUGAUAUUCAACAGGGUUGAAUAACAAGCCGCGAAGGAUCAAACAGCCCAAGUAUAUAUUCAGAAAUCCAGGAACAUUUAAAACCAAGUAGAAACUAUCAAAUCGACUCAAUACCAGCCUGAAUAACCCAUAAUCACUUGAAAAUCAACCAGUAAACAUCUGAAGUUUGAGCAUCCAAGUAUUGAACUAGAAAAAUGAGAAUUCAUUAACUACAAUUUGAAAUUAUCCUAAUGUAUCUCAUGGAACAGUACUAUUUUGUGUAUUUGAAGUUUUUCUUUUUUUUUUUUUUUUUUUGUUUUUGAAUUUUGAAUUUCGAGAUUAAGAUCUGGAAGUUGAGAGACUGUCUUUGGGGGGAAUAUUGGGGAUCAAAAACUUGUUGGUAAAGGCAAUGGAAAUGCCAUUUUAUAUGCACGAAGAGGA
RNAcentral lists this long non-coding RNA (1555 nucleotides) under Nicotiana benthamiana. RNAcentral describes it as "long non-coding RNA (NBEN_LNC010798)". Lineage: Eukaryota; Viridiplantae; Streptophyta; Magnoliopsida; Solanales; Solanaceae. The record is from RNAcentral.